This 468-nucleotide ribosomal RNA is filed under the name uncultured bacterium. Its description in RNAcentral is "partial 16S ribosomal RNA". It matches the Rfam family "Bacterial small subunit ribosomal RNA", at positions 28 to 507 of the family's 1533-position model. The record is from RNAcentral.
GACGAACGCUGGCGGCGUGCUUAACACAUGCAAGUCGAACGGAAAGGCCCUGCUUUUGUGGGGUGCUCGAGUGGCGAACGGGUGAGUAACACGUGAGUAACCUGCCCUUGACUUUGGGAUAACUUCGGGAAACUGGGGCUAAUACCGGAUAGGAGCUCCUGCUGCAUGGUGGGGGUUGGAAAGUUUCGGCGGUUGGGGAUGGACUCGCGGCUUAUCAGCUUGUUGGUGGGGUAGUGGCUUACCAAGGCUUUGACGGGUAGCCGGCCUGAGAGGGUGACCGGGGACAUUGGGACUGAGAUACGGACCAGACUCCUACGGGAGGCAGCAGUGGGGAAUAUUGCACAAUGGGCGGAAGCCUGAUGCAGCAACGCCGCGUGCGGGAUGACGGCCUUCGGGUUGUAAACAGCUUUCGCCUGUGACGAAGCGUGAGUGACGGUAAUGGGUAAAGAAGCACCGGCUAACUACGUG